This 696-nucleotide long non-coding RNA is filed under the name Dromaius novaehollandiae (emu). Its description in RNAcentral is "lncRNA (ENSDNVG00000014148.1)". The record is from RNAcentral. Lineage: Eukaryota; Metazoa; Chordata; Aves; Casuariiformes; Dromaiidae.
GAAGAGCAUGUUCACUCUAUGCCUUUGCAAGACUCUCUGUAUGCUUAAAAGGGCAGUAGAGUGGAGACUUUUUGUUAUUACCUAGUCAAAAGAAACGUGUAUUUAUUGUUCUAUAMAGUAGGACCUGGAGCUCUAGGUCUGCAGCUGCCUGGGCUCCCUUUUGCCCUCUGUUCUCUGGCCCUGUGAAUGUUGUUCUCAGGAAGAGGAGAAGUUUGCUCCCCCUCCGGGUGCCUCUCUGCCUGCAGGUUUGAACAGUCCCCUGGCGUGUGAAAGUUGGGAAAUCUCUGCAGACUGUGGAAGGUCCCAGACCCAAGCCUCUCACAUCCAAGGAACAGCCAGGAGUGAGACAGAGGAUUUAUGAUGGAAAAUUUUGAAAAUUCGUCAUGGAAGGCUGUUUACAGAGAAGCAUUGGUGAAGAAAUUGCCAUGUCACCAACUUCAGUCCUUCUAGAUUCCCUUCAUAGUCAAAGAAGAGGAACUGACCUACCUAAGCAUGGUCAUCAGAUGACUCAUGACCUUGAUGUACCCAUUACUCUCCACAGACUAUACAGAACCUCUAAACAACCAGUUGAGAAAAAUGGAAAACCAUAAUCAACAGUCAUAGAGAUGGAAAACAGUAACRUCAGCAAGAGAACAAGCUCAGCAGAAGGGGAAUUUUCUACCUUCUAAAUAUGUAACUAACAUAUUAAUCACCUGA